CAGUCGCCACGGGAAUACGAAGGGUGCAAGCGUUACUCGGAAUUACUGGGCGUAAAGCGUGCGUAGGUGGUUGUUUAAGUCUGCUGUGAAAGCCCUGGGCUCAACCUGGGAAUUGCAGUGGAUACUGGGCGACUAGAGUAAGGUAGAGGAUAGUGGAAUUUCCGGUGUAGCAGUGAAAUGCGUAGAGAUCGGAAGGAACAUCUGUGGCGAAGGCGACUAUCUGGGCCAUUACUGACACUGAGGCACGAAAGCGUGGGGAGCAAACAGGAUUAGAUACCCGCGUAGUCCCUGUCUCUUAUAC
This 301-nucleotide ribosomal RNA is filed under the name uncultured bacterium. RNAcentral describes it as "partial 16S ribosomal RNA". It matches the Rfam family "Bacterial small subunit ribosomal RNA", at positions 509 to 807 of the family's 1533-position model. The record is from RNAcentral.